ACGAGUGGCGCACGGGUGCGUAACGCGUAUGCAACCUACCCUUUACUGGGGGAUAGCCCGGAGAAAUUCGGAUUAAUACCCCAUGGUACUAUAAUAUAGCAUUAUAUAAUAGUUAAAGAUUUAUUGGUAAAGGAUGGGCAUGCGUGACAUUAGUUAGUUGGUAAGGUAACGGCUUACCAAGACGAUGAUGUCUAGGGGUUCUGAGAGGAAGGUCCCCCACACUGGUACUGAGACACGGAUCAG
This 243-nucleotide ribosomal RNA is filed under the name uncultured bacterium. RNAcentral describes it as "partial 16S ribosomal RNA". It matches the Rfam family "Bacterial small subunit ribosomal RNA", at positions 91 to 334 of the family's 1533-position model. The record is from RNAcentral.